UAGGGAAUCUUCCGCAAUGGACGCAAGUCUGACGGAGCAACGCCGCGUGAGUGAUGAAGGUUCUCGGAUCGUAAAGCUCUGUUGCCCUAGACGAACAGCAGGGGGAGUAACUGCCCUCUGUGUGACGGUAUAGGAGAAGAAAGCCCCGGCUAACUACGUGCCAGCAGCCGCGGUAAUACGUAGGGGGCAAGCGUUGUCCGGAAUUAUUGGGCGUAAAGCGCGCGCAGGCGGCAAUUUAAGUCUGGUGUUUAAUCCCGGGGCUCAACCCCGGUUCGCAUCGGAAACUGGAAUGCUUGAGUGUAGGAGAGGAAAGUGGAAUUCCACGUGUAGCGGUGAAAUGCGUAGAGAUGUGGAGGAACACCAGUGGCGAAGGCGACUUUCUGGCCUAUAACUGACGCUGAGGCGCGAAAGCGUGGGGAGCAAACA
Molecule: ribosomal RNA, 426 nt
Filed under: uncultured Paenibacillus sp.
Lineage: Bacteria; Bacillati; Bacillota; Bacilli; Caryophanales; Paenibacillaceae
Description: bacterial SSU rRNA
Rfam family: Bacterial small subunit ribosomal RNA
Source: RNAcentral